This 94-nucleotide small RNA is filed under the name Klebsiella michiganensis. RNAcentral's name for it is "partial RtT sRNA". It matches the Rfam family "RtT RNA", at positions 38 to 130 of the family's 130-position model. From Rfam's summary of the family: This family represents a bacterial cis-regulatory element known as RtT RNA. The exact function of RtT is unknown although it is thought that it may be involved in changing the cellular response in relation to amino acid starvation. The record is from RNAcentral. Lineage: Bacteria; Pseudomonadati; Pseudomonadota; Gammaproteobacteria; Enterobacterales; Enterobacteriaceae.
AAGGUUCGAGUCGAGCGAAGCGAGAAAGCGUUGCCGCAGGCAACGACCCGAAGGGCGAGGCGCAACGCGCCGAGUAAUCCUUCCCCCACCACCA